UUGUCGUCAGCUCGUGUCGUGAGAUGUUGGGUUAAGUCCCGCAACGAGCGCAACCCCUAUUGUAUGUUGCUACCAUUAAGUUGAGGACUCAUACGAGACUGCCGGUGACAAACCGGAGGAAGGUGGGGAUGACGUCAAGUCAUCAUGCCCCUUAUGAUCUGGGCUACACACGUGCUACAAUGGGGCAUACAGAGGGUCGCGAAGCCGCGAGGUGGAGCCAAUCCCAAAAAGUGCCUCUCAGUUCGGAUUGCAGGCUGCAACUCGCCUGCAUGAAGUCGGAAUCGCUAGUAAUCGCAGGUCAGCAUACUGCGGUGAAUACGUUCCCGGGUCUU
This 332-nucleotide ribosomal RNA is filed under the name uncultured Eubacteriales bacterium. Its description in RNAcentral is "bacterial SSU rRNA". It matches the Rfam family "Bacterial small subunit ribosomal RNA", at positions 1049 to 1382 of the family's 1533-position model. Lineage: Bacteria; Bacillati; Bacillota; Clostridia; Eubacteriales. The record is from RNAcentral.